UGAAGACUUCAGUUUGGGCUGGGGAUGUAGCUCUGGCACCUCGCUUGCCUCACAAGCACAAGGACCUGAGUUUGAUCCCUGGUACCAAAAACAAACCCAAAGACUUCAGUUUGAAAACAUUAUCUCAUAGUUGCAAGCAGGUGAAAUUAGAUGCCUGUCUCUCCCUGGUUAUAAACAUCAACUCUAAAUGGAUUAAAGGCCUUGAAUGUAAGACCAGAAGCCAUGGAACAGCUAGAAGAAAGCAGGAGAAAUGCUUCAAGACACUGGAAUGUGCUACAAUUUUUUGGAUAUGACCCCAAAAGCGCAAAAAACAAAAGCAAAAAUAGACAGAUGGGAUUAUAGCACACUAAAAAGCUGUACAGUAAAGGAAACAGAGUGAAGAUAGAACUAGGGAAUGGGGGAAUACUUGCAAGCUAUGCACAUGACCUGGGGUUAUAAUCCAGGAUAUGGAAGGGACUCAAAAAACCUCAACAGCUGGGGAUGUAGCUCAGUGGCACUGCACUUGCAUGGCAAGCACAAGGUCCUGAGUUUGAUUCCUGGCACCUAAAAAACCCCUGAGCAAACAAUAGAAUAGAUAUUUUUUAAAAAGGGCCAGGGAUUUAGCUCAGAGGCAGUGCCUGCCUGGCAAGCGUGAGGGCCUGAGUUCAAUCCCCGGUACCCCCCUCCCCAAAUGGCAAACAGGUGUGUGUGUUCAGUGUCACUACUAUACUGGGAAUGCAGUUCAAAACAGGUGUUACCUCACUGCAGCAAGAACGACCAUUACCCAAAAAACAAAAGGUAACACAUAAGCCUGGGUGUGGUGAAAAGGGAAGCCCUGUACACUGCUGGUGGGAAUAUAAAUUACUGCAGGCAUUUGGGAAAACAGUAUAAACAGAUGUAACCACACGACCCAGCAAUCCCAUACUGGGUGUGUAUCCAGAGGAAACGAAAUCACGUUGAAGAGAGAUCUGCACUGUGUUCACAGCCAAGGAAUGGGAACAAGCGAACUGUCCAUCAACUGACAAGUGGGGAGCAAGAGUGGCAAACGCACACUAAGAAAUGUUAUUGUCACAAAAAGAAUCCUGUCGCGUAGCAACAUGGGCAGAACUAGAGCUCACCGUUCGGGGAUGAACUGGUGCCCCUUGUGGAACCUAGAACAACCGGUCCCAAAGUUGGGAGGCAUGGUGGUUCCCAGAGACUGGGAGCAUGGGAUCACAGGGUAGAGUCUGGCAGAUAACUAAGCUGUAGUUGGGGGACAACUUCUGAUGAGCUGCUGCACGGCAGGGUGGUAGGACGAUGACAGUCCUCCCAGCUCCCAGCUAGAGGACAGGUGUGUGACUGCUCACCACAGGGACAUGAAAAGAGACAGCUGAGCCUGCCUUGGUUUGAACAUUACGCAAUGUACACAUGUCAGAAUAUUACAUGGUUACCAUAAAUAUGUACGGUUUUUGUCAAUUAAAAAUAAUUUUGAACUCACGUCAUUUACCCACAUUGGCAACCCUCUUAGGGGAUGCAGUUCUAGCUCUUACUGACUCAAAGCUGCAUUUUCCUGAAGCAGACAGUGAAGUUAUUGGUUUGAAAAGAAUCCAAGAAGGGGCCAGGGAUUUAGCUCGGUGGUUUUGCCGCCUGCUGCACAAACACAAGGACCUGAGUUUGAUCCCCGUUACCAAAAAAAAAAAAAAAAAAAAAAAAAGAAUCCAAGAACCUUUGCUCAGUGGGAAGAGACACAGCGUUGCUGCCCCACUGCCCACACUGACCUGCCCAGUCUGCCUGUGUUGAGCGCACCGUGGGACAAUUCUUCUUUGCCCAGGACAACAGUGUGGCUCAGAGGUCGGGAAAUUCUGGAUGAGAAUGCUCAGGUUGUGCAAUCGGAUCGGAGAGUGAUUUCAAAGAAAGCACUAUGUAGAAAGUGGAGGUGACCCUCUCUCCAAGGACAGCCCUGCCCUAAGAAAAACAGCUCAACAAGGCUUCAUAUGCAGCGAAGGACUGAGCAGCCCCAUGGACUGCCGCUACACCGCCCGACCCACCCCUGAAAUGCACUUUCUCCUACACUGGACUCAGUUUCCCCACUAAACAACCAGCAGAGGUACAAAUCACGUAGACUUUUUUUCGGGACCUUGCGCUUUCAAGGCAGGCGGCAGAACCACUGAGCUAGAUCCCCAGCCCUAAAUCACGAAGACUUUUAAAGUUCUAAUUUGGUUUAUGCAUUCUUUGCAAAUUUGAUUUGAUGAAAAUGCAUUAUUACAGUCCUGAUUCUGGAAGCGUUAUUGUAACAGCGGGGCACAGUGGCACACAACUGUAAUCCCAACUCUCACGAGGCUGAGGCUGGAGGAUUGCUGCAAGCUCAAGGCCAGCCUGGGCUACAUAUACGUUCAGGAGCAGCCUGCACUACAGUGCGACCCUCAAAAGAAAAGAAAAUGUAUCCGGACAUGGUGGCGCAUGCCUGCAAUCCCAGCACCUGGGAGGUAGAGGCAGAGUGCUAUGACUUUGAGCUCAGCCUGGGCUACAUAGUGAGUUCAGGUCCAGCCUGAAAUACAUAGCAAGACUGACUUAAAAAAAAGAAAAUGUUAUCCUAGUACAUGAAGAGAUGGAGAGAUGGAG
This 2580-nucleotide long non-coding RNA is filed under the name Heterocephalus glaber (naked mole-rat). RNAcentral's name for it is "lncRNA (ENSHGLG00100039325.1)". The record is from RNAcentral. Lineage: Eukaryota; Metazoa; Chordata; Mammalia; Rodentia; Bathyergidae.